Molecule: long non-coding RNA, 265 nt
Filed under: Fragaria vesca (wild strawberry)
Lineage: Eukaryota; Viridiplantae; Streptophyta; Magnoliopsida; Rosales; Rosaceae
Description: long non-coding RNA (FVES_LNC001620)
Source: RNAcentral
CGGGAAAAUGAGGAUGGUCGAAGAAGUGGGGACAGGCAUUCACGUCGUUACUCUGACCGCAGGGAUGAAAGGGAAGAGCGUAGAAAGUCAGAAUGGAGAAGGGAUAGUAGAGAUGAUGGAAGGAGAAGGGAUAGUAGAGAUGAUGGAAGGAGAAGGGAUAGUAGAGAUGAUGAAAGGCAAAGUAGGCAUAGAAACCGGGCUGAUGAUGGUGAUGUGAAGUAUCACAGAAAUAAGGAGGUGAAUGAAAGACGAGAAGACACUGAGC